ACACGUACUCCAAUGUUUAUUGCAGCACUAUUUACAAUAGCCAAGACAUGGAAACAACCUAAAUAUCCAUCAACAGAGGAGUGGAUCAAGAAGAUGUACAUAUACACAAUGGAAUAUGACUCAGCCAUUAAAAGGAACGAAAUACUGGCAUUUUUAGCAACAUGGACGGACCUAGAAACUAUCUUGCUAAGUGAAGUCAGCCAUACAGUGAGACACCAACAUCAAAUGCUUUCAUUGACAUGCGGAAUCUGAAAAAAGGAUAGACUGAAAUUUUUUGCAGAACAGAUGCUGACUCACAGGCUUUGAAAAACUUAUGGUCUCCGGAGGAGACAGUUUAGGGGGUGGGGGGAUGUGCUUGGGCUGUGGGAUAGAAAUCCUGUGAAAUCAGAUUGUUAUGAUCAUUAUACAACUACAGAUGUGAUAAAUUCAUUUGAGUAAUAAAAAAAAAAAAAGGGAAGGUUUCAGAGAUGGUUUUUUUUUCUUUUCAUCUUUUUUGUCUUUUUAGGACCACACCUGCAACAUGUGGAGGUUCCCAGGCUAGGGGUCGAAUCAGAGCUACAGCUGCUGGCCAUAGCCACAGCCACAGCAAUGCCCAAUCUGAGCCAUGUCCGCCACUUACACCACAGCUCACAGCGUUGCCAGAUCCUCAACCCGCUGAGUGAGGCCAGGAAUCAAACCUGCAACCUCAUGGAUUGCCAGUCGGAUUUGUUUCUGCUGCGCCAUGACGGGAACUCCCAGAUAUGCUUUGAAAGGUAGUAUUGACAGCAUUUGUGACAAAACGGACAAAUGCAUGUAUUUAGCUGCUGCCAACAUCAAUGUGCGGCUCCUUUCCGCCAAGGCCCAGUAUUUUCUCUUUCCAGAUGACCAGCGAGGUGGAAAUACCAGACUCUCCACCAGGCCCGGAGGCUGGGCCAGGCUCCCAUCACCCGUUACCCCCUCCACCCACCACCCUUCCCGUUUUUGCUGGAGGGCGUUUAAGAGGCAGCAAAUCAAUGCCAAAGAGCCAGGAUCUCACACUUUCUGCACGACUAAACGUCAAGGAAAUAAAAAGAAUCCUUCUAGCGUACAAGGGAUUUAAGAGCUAUCCCAGCCAAAUGCAAUGUAUGAACAUCGUCUCUUGAUUUGGCCCAAGUUCUCAUUAAUACAUUUCGGAAACAACGGGCGUGGGGGUCGACUUGGGAGGAUGUUACUGAAUCAUUAACCUCUUGUGGGUAUGAAAGUGGUAAUUAAACGAAAAUGUGAUUGUUGGAGAAGAGGUCUUAUCACAGAGAUGCAUUCUGCAGAAUUUAUGAAUGAAAUGAUAGGACAAUAAGACGUGCAAUAGAAGAAUCCAGCAGGGGUAUGUGGGGGAGUGGGGGGGGUGGCGGGGGGGCAGAGGAGGGGGUAGAGCUGAAAUAAGAUGAUUUAGAGGAAGUUGCAUCUUUCUCAAAAGAUACGCUUCACAUGAUUCCAGUAAAAAAAAAAGGGGGGGGUGUUGUCUGAAACUAGACCAGCCUGUGGGUCACUGAUGCUGAUAGGAACAUGGAGGAACCACUAGUGGGGACACUUGUUGAUAUUAUACGGGUAUCUUCCUUACCGCUGUCUCUGUCCGGGGUUGAUGAGAGGGUACUGGAGCUAGACGGUGGGGCUGAAAUCUUUUUUUUUCUUCUUUUUAGGGCCACACCCACAGCACAUGGAGGUUCCCAGCCUAGGGAUAUAAUUGGAGCCACAGCUGCCAGUCUACACCACAGCCACAGCAACACGGGAUCUGAGCUGCGUCUGCAACCACCACCACAGCUCAGGGCAACGCCAGAUCCGUAACCCACUGAGCGAGAGCAGGGAUGGAACCUGCAUCCUCACAGAUACUAUGUUGGGUUCUUAACCCGCUGAGCCACAACAGGAACUCCUGGGGCUUAAAUCUUGCCCUGACAUGUCUUUUCAUGUGAACUUGGCAAGUCGCAUUCCCCACCGUGUGCCUCAGUUUCCCCAUCUGUCAAGGGGGAACAUAAUAAGGUCUGCCUGACAGAGCUGGGGUGAGAGUCAUAGCAGUUAACAGCAUGUCACCAGCACUAAAGAUGUGUUAGCCCAGAGAGUUCCCUGGUGGCACCGUGGGUUAAGGAUCCAGCGUUGUCACCACUGUGGCUCUGGUUAUUGCUGUAGCACAGGUUCUAUCCCUGGCCUGGGAAUUUCUGCAUGCUGCUGGCACAGCCAAAAAAGAAAAAGAAGUUGUUAGCUUUGAUUGUCCCUAUCAGGUAAUAUUUGAGUGUUGUCAUGAUUUUUUUCCCCACAUUUCAUUUGUCUGGCCUCCCUGGGGAAGACACAGGACACUUAGGUUAAGGGUGUGUGUGGUUUUUUUUUCUCCUGGGGGGCACACCCAUAGCAUGCAAAAGUCCAGGACCAGAGAUCAAACCCGCACCACGGCAGCAACCCAUGCCUUAGCAGUGAGAACACUGGGUCCUUAACCAUUAGGCCACCGGGGAACUGCGUUGUGUGUGUUUUCAAAUAGAUACAUGGAGCUAUAAUUCACCCACUCUGCAAUUCCCCCAUUUAAAGAGUGUAAGUCAGUGGUUUUUGGUGCCUUCAUGGGGUUACGCACCCAUCACCACAGGCAGUUUUAGAACAUGGCCUCCCCAGGAGGACACUGCUUCAAGGAAGGCAGGGUAGUGGCAGUGAGCCCCUCAUGGAGUCUCUUAUGGCCGAAGGGGUGGGCUGUGGGGGCCGCCACCUCCCUAGGCGGCUCUAGGGUGGGAGUAGCUUGCCCGCCCUGCGAUAUUCUAUGAGGACACCAGGGACCGGCCAGCUGGCCUGGCCUCCAGCGCCCCCUUAUCCACUGCAACCACGUGAGGUGCAUCUUCAAAGAAAGGUGCCCACAGACCUCAGUGCGGCUUUCUCGAGAUCGAUGAUAACUCGCCACAAUUUAAUUUUGUCCUUUUUUUCUCAAGAGGGAGGGAGAGGGAGAGGGAGUGCCUGCCGUGGUUCAGCAGGCUACGAACCCGACUAGUAUCCAUGAGAAUGCGGGUUCCAUCCCUGGCCUCGAUCAGUGGGUUAAGAACCCGGUGUUGCUGUGGCUGCAGCGUAGGCUGGCAGCUGCAGCUUCAAUGUGACCCCUAGUCUGGGAAUUUCACUUCAAUAUGGUGCAGGUGCAGCCCUAAAAAGAAAAGAAAAAAAAAAAAAAAAAAAAAAGGGAGUUCCCAACGUGGCUCAACAGAAAUGAAUCUGACUAGCAUCCAUGAGGACACAGGUUUGAUCCCUGGCCUCACUCAGUGGGUUAAGAAUUUGGCAUUGCCGUGAGCUGUGGUGUAGAUUACAGACACAGCUUGGAUCUAGCAUUGCUGUGGCUGUGGUAUAGGCCGGCAGCGACAACUGUGAUUUGACCUUUAGCCUGGGAACCUCCAUAUGCCGCAGGUGCAGCCCUAAAAAAAAAGAGGAAGAAGAAGCACUUUGUCUGGUCCCUCACAAGAGGCCCUAUCUUCAAAAAAAUGGUGGCUGGAGGGGGGGGGCGGGGGGAGGAGAUGGGAGAGAGAACCCCUAGCCAGAUACACUGGGUAGCGAAGCUGCAACAAGGCCUAUCAGAGUGGCACUUCAGGACUGGCCCCUGAAAGAGGGGGCAGCCAAGGAGAGGGGGCAGCUUGGGUCUGGAGCAUCAGGCUCAGCAACCAGGGAGCUGGCGGCGACCUUUACCAAAGUGGGGGUGGGGGGAGUGAAGGGAGGCAGGUGGGAAAGAGGCAGAAGAAUCUGGAACUCCCGCUUGCACAAAACUGUCCCCAGGCUCCAGUAGGAUUUGACAAGCCUUUAGGAUACGCCUGAGCUGGGUUCCAGUCUUGGCUCCUGCCUUUGGGCACAUGGCCGUGAGCAAGUCACUCUGCAUCCAGGUCUCCUGGCCUGCACAGCGGGGCAGGAAAACCUGAAGGGUUCUAGUGAGGGGCUGAGGGGCCAGGUCACAGUGUCCAGCACGAGGCGGGGCACAGGGUCGGCGGUCCACGCACCGUGGCCUUGACAAUGAUGGUCACCAGUGUUCGUUCCCCUCCCAGACGGCAGAUCUUGGGAAAUUCCAGCCCAGGGAGUACCUGUAACGGGGGUGAGGGAGGCAGCUGGGCUGGAAAGGGCUGAAAUAGGGAACUGGGGCUGAGGGGGUUUCCAGAAUGAGCGAGAAGGGAGAUUCUGGCAGGUCAGGGGGAAUGGAGCCCAUCACUCCUGCCUGAAACCCCCCAGGCCUCCCCAGGGUUAAGCUCCCCAGGGCCGUCCAGGCCUGUUCCACCCCCAGGGCCCCUCUCCCACCACGACUUCCCCUUCCAGCCCCCUGGUCUCUCGUCCAACCUCAAGACUUUGCCUUGACUGUUCCCCCAGCUGCAAUGCUUUUCCACUACCUCUUUGCAUCCUCAGAGGUUGCAUGACCCUGACCCCCGCCCCCUGCAGCCCCCAGCCCACCCUCCCCCUUGGUUCCAUCGCAUCACUCCUUGGAGCAUUUAUCCCUCUCUGAAAUUCAACUUCAUGAUUUUUUUUUUGGGGGGGGUCUUUUUUAGGGCCACAUCCACGGCCCUAAAAAACCCAAGGAGCCACAACGGGAGCUCCCUGGGUAGUUGUUCCUGCUCAGCUUUUAGAUCAGGCCUCAAACACGGCUUCUUUCAGGAAACCUCAGACCCUGGUCAAGGUCACAUCCCGCUCCACAUACUGUCACUUAUUUGCCUUCAGGAACUGUUCAGGGUGGUCAUAUAUAUUUGUUUAGCCUCUGCCUCCCCUUAGAAGGAAACGUGCUGGGAGGCGGAACCUUCUCUUACCUGCCUCUCCUAGCACCGCACCUGGCAGAUGUAGUCUGCAUGCAGGGGAGCCAGGUUCCAGCCCUCAUGUCUUUGCUCUCAGGAAGCGUUUACUGAGAAUCCACUGUCGCAGGGCUGCAAAGUCGGCACAGACCUGACCCCGAGCCUCAGGGGGCUCAGCCUGCUGGGGACCAGAUGCUAUGGUGAGACCUGGGCUGGGCAGUGGCCACAGAGCAGGGAGGGCUCCCCAGGGCAGGGUCUUGAACAGUGUGGAGAAGUCUGAAACAAGAGAGAAGGGAACAGCCAUGGGAACAGCCUGUGCAAAGGAAGAAGGGAGAAGACAGGAGGUGUCAGGGAACCUCGGUGGCCAAAUGUGGCUGCAGUGCAAGGAAGGAGGAAGGGGGCAGAGGAUACAGGAGCAGGCGGAGAUGCUCAAGACCCAGAGCUGCCUUCCUGCCUCGCUCCCCUCCCGUCUCCCCACCAUGACAAGUCAGGACCUGCGGGAGACACCGUCCAACCCUUUCCCCCAGGGGAGCCAGCGCAGUGGGGCUGGGGCUUGGCAGGGGGCCCAGGGCAGUGUGGGUGGUUUUUCCUUGGUGCAUCAGGAACCAGGGAGCCCUGGCAAGCACCUCUGUAGGCGUCUCAUCUACAGGCAUGAUUUGGGGAGGGACCCACUUCCAAGUUCACUUAGUACAUGUUGGCAGCAUUCAGUUCCUUGCCUCGUGGGCCCCUCCAAUGGAACAGCUCAACACAGCAACUUGUGUCAUCAAAGUGAGUCUCAGACUCAUGUGUGCACCAGACUCGCCUGGAGGAGCUGCUGAAACACAGCUCCACCUCCAGAGUUCCUGAUCCAGCCCGCCUGGCCGGGGGCCCGAGGACAUGCAUUUCCAACAAGCUCCCAGGCGAUGCUGGAGACCACAUGUUGACAACUGGAGAAUUACAGGGAUCCCGUCCCUAAUUUUUUAUUUCUUCAUUACAUUGUAUCUGUUAGAGGGUCACUCUUUUUUUUUUUCUUUUUUUGGGCUGUACCCACAGCAUAUGGAGGUUCCAGGCUAGGGGCUGAAUCGGAGCUACAACUGCCGGUCUACACCACAGUCACAACAACUCAGGAUCUGUGACCUACACCACAGUUCACAGCAACGCCGGAUCCUUAACCCGAUGAGUGAGGCCAGGGAUGAGCCAUAACCUCAUGGCUCUUAGCUGGAUUCCUUUCUGCUGCGCCACGACAGGAACUCCUAAAGAGUCACUCUUAAGAAUUCCGAGGUGGAGUUCCUGCUGUGGCUCAGCAGGUUCAGAACCCAAGAGUGUCUGCGAGGACCUGGCUUGGAUCCCUGGCCUCGCCCAGUGGGUUAAGGAUCUGGCGUUGCCAUGAGCUGUGAUGUAGGUCAAAGCUCGGAUCUGGUGUUGCUGUGGCUGUGACGCAGGCUGGCGGCUGUAGCUCUGAUUGCACCCCUACCCUGGGAACCUCCAUAUGCUGCACCUGCGGCCCUAAAAAGAAAAAACACUUAGAAAUUUUUACUGUGGCACAGCAGGUUAAGGAUCUGGCAUUGCCGCAGCUGUUGCAUAAACAAACUGUAGAUGCAGCUCGGAUUUAAUCCCUGGCCCAGGAUUUUCCCUAUGUCAUGGGUACAGCUGAGAAAGGAAACGAAAAUUUCAGCAUGGAAAUAAAAAAACUACCCCCAAAUUUGUAUGGAACCACAAAAGAUCCUGUGUAUUCAAAGCAACCUUGAGAAAGAAUAACAUAGUGUGGAAAUCACACUUCCUGAUUUCAAGCUACAUCGCAAAGCUAUAGUAAAACAUGCUGGUAUAAAAACAGGCCCAGAGAUGAGUGAGAAAGAAUAGAGAGCCUAGGCAUAAACCCACACACACACAGUCACCUGAUUUUUGAUAGGGCGACGAGACUGCACAAUGGAGAAAGGACAUUCUCGCCAAUAAACAGAGCUGGGAACUGGACAACCACCUGCCCAACGGUGAAACUGGACCCCUGCCUUACACCACUUGCAAAAAUUAACUCGAAAUAGAUCAAACCUGAAACCUAGAAGAAAACACAGGGAUCACGCUCUUUGACAUUGAUCUUGGCAAUGAUUUCCUGGAUAAAACACCAAAAGCAACAGAAGCUAGAAUAAACAAGUGAAACUACAUCAAACAUCAAACGAAAGAGCUUCUGCUUAGCAAAGCGAACAACCCACAAAAUGAGAAGGGCCUUUACAAAAUGGGAGAAAAUACUUGCAAACCAGAUAUCUGGUAAGGUGGGUUAGUACCCUAAAAUAUAUAAAGAACUCACACAACUCAGUAGCAAAAAAGGAAAAAAGAAUAAAUAGGAGUUCCCUUGUGGCUCAGUGGUUAAGGGUCUGGAGUUGUUACUGCAGUGGCUCUGGCUACUGCAGUGGCAAGGGUUUGAUCCCUGAACCCGGAACUUACAUAUGCCCUGGAUGCCGCCAACAACAACAAAGAAAAGGGCAAAGGGGAGUUCCCGUCGUGGCGCAGUGGUUAACGAAUCCGACUAGGAACCAUGAGGUUGCGGGUUCGGUCCCUGCCCUUGCUCAGUGGGUUAAUGAUCCGGUGUUGCCGUGAGCUGUGGUGUAGGUUGCAGACGCGGCUCGGAUCCCGCGUUGCUGUGGCUCUGGCAUGGGCCAGUGGCUACAGCUCCGAUUCAACCCCUAGCCUGGGAACCUCCAUAUGCCGCGGGAGCGGCCCAAAGAAAUAGCAAAAAGACAAAAAAAAAAAAAAAAAAA
RNAcentral lists this long non-coding RNA (7471 nucleotides) under Sus scrofa (pig). RNAcentral's name for it is "lncRNA (ENSSSCG00000041169.1)". Lineage: Eukaryota; Metazoa; Chordata; Mammalia; Artiodactyla; Suidae. The record is from RNAcentral.